GAGAUUUGCAUUACAUCUGGGUUAGAGUAAAUAGGCGGGAUCGGUUCAGAAGCUUUUGUAGGAGAAGAAUUAUACCACUAUGCAUUUGAAACCAAUGUCAUAGAAGGAUGAGAGUAGAAGAAAUAGCCAAUUUAUAAGCUAUCAAUCCCCAUUUAAUAACUUAAAGUCAUUCCCGAAUAGCAACUUUUUGGAAUUUUACAAGUAUGGAACAUCUCUUUGCUGGUAGAGUUAAAUCGGUAGUGGGCAACGACAAAGUGUUGUAUUCUUGGAAGGCUCUUGAACAGGUGAAGCUUCAAUUACUUCCAGGUUUCCUAGAAUCUAUGUGUUGGCUAAUGGCAAAAAUCGACCCAUCAGUCAGAUUUGGAAGUCUAGCUCCCCUUCGUGGUAUUUAGAUUUCAAAACAAACUUGAACGAUUGGGAGGCGAUAAAGUGGAAUUCUCUUAUGGAUCUUGUAAACAGUACUUGCCCCCACAAGUUUCAGGAUAAAUCUCUAUGGUUCACGGACCCGACAAGUCUUUUUCUGAAAGAUAUUACAACAGAUUCUCAAGUCCUCGACUAUCAUAUAGAGUUUUGGUGAGACUCUUCCCGAAAGAUGAAGAUUGAAGAUCUUCAUUAUUUUUUUUGGGUGCAUCAACACUCAUGAAUCAUGAUAAAGUCCAAAGAAAGAAUCCCAAGAAGUCUCUCCACUUAAAUUGGUAUGCUUUGUGCAAGAACAACAAAGAAACUCAAAACCAUCCUUUCAUCAUCUGCUCAAAUGGCUUCCCAUUUCUGAAUCCCCUGCCCUAAUUAACUCGUCCAGAUGGCUCAUUCAAUCUUAAAUCUUCUCAGGACCAAUUCACCAAGUGGGAUGUUGUUCACACUUCACUGGGAAACUGUGCAUCUCUUGAGGAAAAAUGAGGGGAUGCCCACUAGGUUGUUGGAAGGACCAGAAUGAUAAUAGAAUCUCUCUACACAUUUUGCAUGUGAUGACAAUAAGUUUCAUGGGAGCUUCAUUGAUUGGAACUUUGUCAUUUACUCACUUGCUUCUAUGCUAUCUCAGCCAAUUCUAUGGUGGUAAAAAUUUUCAUCUUUCUUUUUCUUUUUUAUUGUUCUUCCAUAUUAUCCUAUCCUUUGGUAGGGCUAGAUAUAGCCUUUGAUGAAACGAAAACUUGUUGAAAAUGAUGUUGACUUGUGGGAUAUGUUGAUGCUAGAAUUGACUUUAAUUUUGUGGAGGUCUUCAAUGUAUUUUGAAAGGUUUGAGAAUGAACUUUAGUUGGAGGA
Molecule: non-coding RNA, 1260 nt
Organism: Momordica charantia (bitter melon)
Lineage: Eukaryota; Viridiplantae; Streptophyta; Magnoliopsida; Cucurbitales; Cucurbitaceae
Source: RefSeq, a predicted model, not a curated record